AUCUGCAAAGAAGUCAGCUCCUCUUAAAAGUAUUAGCGGUGACUUGGUUAGCCGUUCCUUGGUGUGAUAAUUAUCUACGCUUUGGUUCAGCUUCCAGUUUGUGUCACAGCUUCUAACUGUCUGUUAACUCGGACUGUUUGCUUGCAAACACUUUAUUGACUCUUGACCUCAAAUCAGGUAGGACUACCCGCUGAACUUAA
Molecule: unclassified non-coding RNA, 200 nt
Filed under: soil metagenome
Description: partial contains internal transcribed spacer 2 and large subunit ribosomal RNA
Source: RNAcentral